ACUCCUACGGGGCAGGCAGUGGGGAAGUAUUGCACAAUGGAGGAAAGAUCUGAUGCAGCAACGCCGCGUGGAGGAUGACACUUUUCGGAGCGUAAACUCCUUUUAUAUAGGAAGAUAAUGACGGUACUAUAUGAAUAAGCACCGGCUAACUCCGUGCCAGCAGCCGCGGUAAUACGGAGGGUGCAAGCGUUACUCGGAAUCACUGGGCGUAAAGAGCGUGUAGGCGGGUUAUUAAGUCAGAAGUGAAAUCCUAUGGCUCAACCAUAGAACUGCUUUUGAAACUGGUAACCUAGAGUAUGGGGAGAGGNGAUGGAAUUUCUGGUGUAGGGGUAAAAUCCGUANAGAUCAGAAGGAAUACCGAUUGCGAGGCGAUCUACUGGAACAUUACUGACGCUGAGACCGCGAAAGCGUGGGGGAGCAAACAGGA
RNAcentral lists this ribosomal RNA (427 nucleotides) under uncultured bacterium. RNAcentral describes it as "bacterial SSU rRNA". It matches the Rfam family "Bacterial small subunit ribosomal RNA", at positions 335 to 777 of the family's 1533-position model. The record is from RNAcentral.